AACGAACGCUGGCGGCAUGCCUAACACAUGCAAGUCGAACGAAGGCUUCGGCCUUAGUGGCGCACGGGUGCGUAACGCGUGGGAAUCUGCCCUUUGGUUCGGAAUAACAGCUGGAAACGGCUGCUAAUACCGGAAGAUGACGAAAGUCCACAGAUUUAUCGCCAGAGGAUGAGCGCGAGUUGGAUUAGGUGGUUGGUGGGGUAAAGGCCUACCAAGCCGACGAUCCAUAGCUGGUCUGAGAGGAUGAUCAGCCACACUGGGACUGAGACACGGCCCAGACUCUUACGCAAGGGAGCAGUGGGUGAUACUGGACAAUGGGGUCAGUGCUGAACCAGCUCUGGCGCGUGAGUGAUGAAGGCCGUAGGGUUGUAAAGCUCUUUUACCCGGGAAGGUAAUGACGGUACCGGGAGAAUAAGCCCCGGCUAACUCCGUG
Molecule: ribosomal RNA, 433 nt
Filed under: uncultured bacterium
Lineage: Bacteria
Description: partial 16S ribosomal RNA
Rfam family: Bacterial small subunit ribosomal RNA
Source: RNAcentral